AACGAACGCUGGCGGCGGGCCUCAUACAUGCAAGUCGAGCGCGAAAGUCCGCAAGGAUGAGUAAAGCGGCGCACGGGUGAGUAACACGUGGGUAAUCUACCUUUUGGAUUGGAAUAACCUGUCGAAAGACGGGCUAAUGCCGAGUAAGCCUUCUUGAACGUGAAGUUCGAGACGGGAAAGAUGGCGCAAGCUAUCGCCGAAAGAUGAGCCUGCGUCCCAUUAGUUAGUUGGUGGGGUAAUGGCUUACCAAGACAAUGAUGGGUACCUGGUUUGAGAGAAUGAUCAGGCACACUGGAACUGAAACACGGUCCAGACUCCUACGGGAGGCAGCAGUAGGGAAUAUUGCGCAAUGGACGAAAGUCUGACGCAGCCACGCCGCGUGAGUGAGGAAGGCCUUCGGUUGUAAAGACUCUGUCGGCUGGG
This 423-nucleotide ribosomal RNA is filed under the name uncultured bacterium. Its description in RNAcentral is "bacterial SSU rRNA". It matches the Rfam family "Bacterial small subunit ribosomal RNA", at positions 29 to 444 of the family's 1533-position model. The record is from RNAcentral.